GUCCCCAUAGUUCAACGGAUAGAACAGUCCCGUCCUAAGGGAUAGAUGUAUGUUCGAUUCAUACUGGGGACACAA
RNAcentral lists this transfer RNA (75 nucleotides) under Candidatus Moranbacteria bacterium RIFOXYA12_FULL_35_19. Its description in RNAcentral is "tRNA-Arg". It matches the Rfam family "tRNA". Rfam says of the family: Transfer RNA (tRNA) molecules are approximately 80 nucleotides in length. Their secondary structure includes four short double-helical elements and three loops (D, anti-codon, and T loops). Further hydrogen bonds mediate the characteristic L-shaped molecular structure. tRNAs have two regions of fundamental functional importance: the anti-codon, which is responsible for specific mRNA codon recognition, and the 3' end, to which the tRNAs corresponding amino acid is attached (by aminoacyl-tRNA synthetases). tRNAs cope with the degeneracy of the genetic code in two manners: having more than one tRNA (with a specific anti-codon) for a particular amino acid; and 'wobble' base-pairing, i.e. permitting non-standard base-pairing at the 3rd anti-codon position. RNAcentral also lists the same sequence under 2 other names. The record is from RNAcentral. Lineage: Bacteria; Candidatus Moraniibacteriota.